UGGGGAAUAUUGGACAAUGGGCGCAAGCCUGAUCCAGCCAUGCCGCGUGAGUGACGAAGGCCUUAGGGUUGUAAAGCUCUUUUGUCGGGGACGAUAAUGACGGUACCCGAAGAAUAAGCUCCGGCUAACUUCGUGCCAGCAGCCGCGGUAAUACGAAGGGAGCUAGCGUUGUUCGGAAUCACUGGGCGUAAAGCGCACGUAGGCGGAUUUGUUAGUCAGAGGUGAAAUCCCGGGGCUCAACCUCGGAACUGCCUUUGAUACUGCAAGUCUUGAGUCCGAGAGAGGUGGGUGGAAUUCCUAGUGGAGAGGUGAAAUUCGUAGAUAUUAGGAAGAACACCGGUGGCGAAGGCGGCCCACUGGCUCGGUACUGACGCUGAGGUGCGAAAGCGUGGGGAGCAAACGGGAUUAGAUACCCCGAGUAGUCCCUGAGCGGGCUGGCAAGGCGCAU
Molecule: ribosomal RNA, 448 nt
Filed under: uncultured bacterium
Lineage: Bacteria
Description: bacterial SSU rRNA
Rfam family: Bacterial small subunit ribosomal RNA
Source: RNAcentral